This 72-nucleotide transfer RNA is filed under the name Solirubrobacterales bacterium. RNAcentral describes it as "tRNA-Gly". It matches the Rfam family "tRNA". From Rfam's summary of the family: Transfer RNA (tRNA) molecules are approximately 80 nucleotides in length. The record is from RNAcentral. Lineage: Bacteria; Bacillati; Actinomycetota; Thermoleophilia; Solirubrobacterales. RNAcentral also lists the same sequence under 2 other names.
GCGGGCGAAGUGUUACUGGUUGCACGUGAGCCUUCCAAGCUCGAAGAACGGGUUCGAGUCCCGUCGCCCGCU